GAGCCAAAGCAACAAAAAAAGUGUCACUGUCCGAAUACUUUUGCAUUUAACAAUGUAAGUCCGUAAUAUUUACAAUUGCAUCUGGCAACAUCAAAUAAAUGAUCAGAUAAAUUUCAGUCUCGACGAUGCAAUCAAACUGUGCUGCGCGCUGCAAUCGCUCGCUUUCUCCCAAAGGAAUAAAAUUUGAAAUUCCAUCUGGGAAUGAUUGGUCAGCCGAAGUCACGUUGCUUGUGUAACUCUGUCAGACAGAGCCUGCACCAUUGUUUUCUCUAGCAGCCGGAAGGUUGGGUUUAGCUUCAGAGGCAAGUAUGCAGAUGGGCUAAUGGUCAGACCUUAAUUACAGAACUCGCAUCGCAACAAUGAAAUAGAGUUGUUUUAUGUGUAAUACGAGUAUGACGCGCAAAUGUAAAAUCUAAUUUUCUUUUAGCAUCGUCAUUCGUUCAGAGGGAUAGUGCGUAAGAGGCAGCGAGUCAUCUUAUGAUUUGACAGGAUGAAUGGACAGAGGCAUUUCAUAAGAACAUAAUUUCACCACUUGCCGAUUAAGCCCCCUCGCCUUUGUCCAUCCCAUCAGCCCCCUCUGCUCGGGUCUCUGGCUCUCACCGGCUCUCAGUGCGGUGCGGUGGGGAAUGAAGAAGGGGCCCUUGGAUCAAGACCCCAGAGCGCUGGGAUAGCUGGAUUGCACGCCGCUUGAACUGCAGCAGGAUGGGAGCUCCUCUUACGGUGCGCCUCGUCUGUCUUUGACCAGCUUCCUUUCGUUUCUUAUUUUCUCUCACCACUCCGAGGUGGAGCCGCGAUACCCGGAGCGUUCCCUGAUAGAA
Anguilla rostrata (American eel) is the source of this 818-nucleotide long non-coding RNA. RefSeq lists it as uncharacterized. The transcript is spliced from 4 exons. NCBI's taxonomy places the organism in Eukaryota, Metazoa, Chordata, Actinopteri, Anguilliformes, Anguillidae. The record is from RefSeq and is a predicted model, not a curated record.